This 425-nucleotide ribosomal RNA is filed under the name uncultured bacterium. Its description in RNAcentral is "bacterial SSU rRNA". It matches the Rfam family "Bacterial small subunit ribosomal RNA", at positions 356 to 773 of the family's 1533-position model. The record is from RNAcentral.
GGGGAAUAUUGCACAAUGGGCGAAAGCCUGAUCCAGCCAUGCCGCGUGCGGGAUGAAGGCCUUCGGGUUGUAAACCGCUUUUGUCAGAGACGAAAAGGGACGUACGAAUAAUACGUUCCGCUGACGGUAUCCGAAGAAUAAGCACCGGCUAACUACGUGCCAGCAGCCGCGGUAAUACGUAGGGUGCAAGCGUUAAUCGGAAUUACUGGGCGUAAAGGGUGCGCAGGCGGCUGUGCAAGACAGAUGUGAAAUCCCCGGGCUUAACCUGGGAACUGCAUUUGUGACUGCACGGCUAGAGUUUGUCAGAGGAGGGUGGAAUUCCGCGUGUAGCAGUGAAAUGCGUAGAUAUGCGGAAGAACACCAAUGGCGAAGGCAGCCCUCUGGGACAUGACUGACGCUCAUGCACGAAAGCGUGGGGAGCAAAC